Molecule: transfer RNA, 95 nt
Filed under: Candidatus Woesearchaeota archaeon
Lineage: Archaea; Nanobdellati; Candidatus Woesearchaeota
Also listed under: 1 other name
Description: tRNA-Val
Rfam family: tRNA
About the family: Transfer RNA (tRNA) molecules are approximately 80 nucleotides in length. Their secondary structure includes four short double-helical elements and three loops (D, anti-codon, and T loops).
Source: RNAcentral
GGGCUCAUGGUCUAGCGGCUAUCUCUGCAUAGGAGACUGCAGAUGACAGCGCCCUUACAAGGCGUUGAUCCCCGGUUCGAAUCCGGGUGGGCCCA